CAACACAGUGAGACUCUAUCUCAACAAAAAAGAAAAAAAAAACCCUUGACUUUGACCUUGUGCUAAAGCAAUGGCUAUUCUUUUCCUCUGCAUUGAAAGGAGUAUUUAUCCUUUUAAAUUUAUUCAGAAAGCCAGCACAUUG
Small nucleolar RNA from Otolemur garnettii (small-eared galago), 142 nucleotides. The record is from Ensembl. NCBI's taxonomy places the organism in Eukaryota, Metazoa, Chordata, Mammalia, Primates, Galagidae.